RNAcentral lists this ribosomal RNA (252 nucleotides) under uncultured bacterium. RNAcentral describes it as "partial 16S ribosomal RNA". It matches the Rfam family "Bacterial small subunit ribosomal RNA", at positions 524 to 776 of the family's 1533-position model. The record is from RNAcentral.
UACGGAGGAUGCGAGCGUUAUCCGGAUUUAUUGGGUUUAAAGGGUGCGUAGGCGGGAUGCCAAGUCAGCGGUAAAGAUGCGGUGCUCAACGCUGUCGAGCCGUUGAAACUGGCGUUCUUGAGUGGGCGAGAAGUAUGCGGAAUGCGUGGUGUAGCGGUGAAAUGCAUAGAUAUCACGCAGAACUCCGAUUGCGAAGGCAGCAUACCGGCGCCCUACUGACGCUGAGGCACGAAAGCGUGGGUAUCGAACAGG